AACGCACAUUGCGCCUUCUGGUAUUCCGGAAGGCAUGCUUGUUUGAGUAUCAGUAACAACCUCAGCCAAGCUCUCUUCGCUUCAGGCGCAGAAAGCAAAAGCUGGAUUUGAGCAAAGUCCCUUGGGAUCAGUCCGACGACCUUCGGGGAGCGGAAUUGAGCCGUGGGGGAUGCUUGAAAUACAGGUUCGGGCUGACCAAAUGUCCUGGGCUACAAGCAUUUCAUACUUGAUCCCGUUAAACGGAUCAUUUCCAUUGCUGCAGCCAACACAAACAGGAUCAAACGUGUCCAGUGUCCGACUGAUGCAGGAAGUUGGAACAACAGAGCGAUCUGUGGUUCUUUCUAACUCGAUCUCAAAUCAAGUAAGACUACCCGCUGAACUUAA
Molecule: unclassified non-coding RNA, 384 nt
Filed under: uncultured fungus
Lineage: Eukaryota; Fungi
Description: partial contains 5.8S ribosomal RNA, internal transcribed spacer 2, and large subunit ribosomal RNA
Source: RNAcentral